This 424-nucleotide ribosomal RNA is filed under the name uncultured bacterium. RNAcentral describes it as "partial 16S ribosomal RNA". It matches the Rfam family "Bacterial small subunit ribosomal RNA", at positions 359 to 774 of the family's 1533-position model. The record is from RNAcentral.
GAAUACUGGACAAUGGGCGGAAGCCUGAUCCAGCCAUGCCGCGUGGGUGAAGAAGGACCUUUGGUUGUAAAGCACUUUAAGCGAGGAGGAAGAGCUCUUGGUUAAUACCCAAGCUGCGUGGACGUUACCCGCAGAAUAAGCACCGGCUAACUCCGAGCCAGCAGCCGCGGUAAUACAGAGGGUGCAAGCGUUAAUCGGAUUUACUGGGCGUAAAGCGCGCGUAGGUGGACAAUUAAGUCAAAUGUGAAAUGCCCGAGCUUAACUUGGGAAUUGCAUUCGAUACUGGUUGGCUAGAGUAUGGGAGAGGAUGGUAGAAUUCAAGGUGUAGCGGUGAAAUGCGUAGAGAUCUGGAGGAAUACCGCUGGCGAAGGCAGCCAUCUGGCCUAAUACUGACACUGAGGUGCGAAAGCAUGGGGAGCAAACA